GCUGGGGACCAAAGGAUCCCUGCUGUCUACUUCCCAUGACUAGCUCCAACACAAGAUCAGAGAGAAGAAGGGUGAAAGCAAGGUGAAUGAAUGGAUAUUCUCAAAGUACAAAACCUGAGACUUAUUUGAUAAGUUGCUUGCCAUCACGGGGAAGGGGGAUGAAGGGAGUAGAAGGUUCCAAAGGGGAAAAUGUAGUGUUUGUGAAGCUAUGAAUAAGCAAGCUAAGGAGAGGACAACCCAUCAGAGAAACUGGGGGGGGGGGGGGGGGGGGCGCGCUAGGGCAGAAAAUACUAGCCUUUAAAGAGAAAUUGAACAUUUUCUUCUCUCAUGCACAUGCAAUGCUUUUAUCAUUUUAAAUUCAAAUUUUUAUUAUCUUCCCACCCUUGACAUUACCUGAAAGGCGAGUGGGUUAAGGAAUCGCUAUGCCCCAUUAAAAGGAUAAAGAGGAGAGAGACCCACCGUGCCCUCCUCGAAGGGAAACAGGGGAGCGAUAGAUAGAAAUAGGCACUGAGUGAUGCUUGCUGCCAUGGAAAUGGUGCUCGUGCUGAGAGUGAGACCCCGGCGAGGAAGAGGAGGAGGAGGAGGAGGAGGAGGAAGAAGCUACAUUAGAGGAACUCCACACAGAGCUGACGAUACAUCCCCAGAAGAGGGACCAGAUUCCAAGCGUCCAAGCCGGCCGGCGAGGAGGGCUGCGUCUCGCGUGGAUUCUCAGAACUGCCAGGCAAAAGGGGGCUGCAGGUGGGAGAGUUUUUCGCGUGUUCCCGAAGUCUCGAUGGAAGGGCGCGGAGGCUGUUAACCCUGCGCGUUCUGGAAGAGCGCCACGGAGCAACCGCCUGCGUCCUGGGUUUCCCAACUGGAUGUAAAGCAGUGGCAGCAGAAGCAGCAGCAGCCGGAGGAAGAGAACAAGAAGGACCGGAGGGAAAGAGGCAAGGAGGGGGAAGCCAGUGCGGAGAAGCCACCCAAACCAACGUGGCCCUGGGCGGAGAGAGGUGGGUGGGCGAGCGCGGAGAACGUAGGAGGAGGUGCCCGGCAGGCGGCAGAGGUGGCCGGGAGGCGGGCGGGCGCCUGCAAAGUGCGCGGAACUGGGAGGCACAGGUGAAGUGAAGCGAGGAGUUGGGGAGCCAAAUUCACAAAUGGGCAAGUCAUAUGCAAAUAGCGCACUCCCGAGAGCAAAUCAGUGCAGCCCGAGCGCUCUGCCGAGGGACUGGCUGGCUCGGGAGGGAGGAGGGGCCCGAGCGACCCGGAAUCCCGGCCCUCCCCAUUCAACUACACGCUCCUUCGUCUACACCCGCUCGAGCCUCCUGCGCACACCGGCGCUGUCCCCGAGCUCCGCUUCCUCCCUUAAGAGUGAGCGUGUGUGAGCGCGUGGAUAAGUGAGACCGACAGACCGACAGAUGGACGCUGCUCCUUUUUUUUUACCACCCUUUCCUUUUUCUCUCCCAGGCGCAUUAAGCCAAAUUCGGAUGAUUAAGGCACCUUUUACAAUUUGGGAAGAAAAAUGCAGGCGGUGGCUAAGGCUGAAGUAGCCCCAGAUAGAAAUAAAAAUAAACCCCUUGAGUCAGCAGGAGCGCUGGAGCGCCUGCACACUGUCGUGCCGCCCGCACGCUCCCCCUGGCCUGACGAUCAGCACAGCGCGGCCACUCUCCCAGGACCCCACCCAGAGGGGGAAAGGCGGGAACCCGCGUCCUGACUCUAUACGGUGAACGGAAGAGGUGGCCUGGGGACCCCGGAGGGUGAGGGGCUUGGCCGCUGGAGGCCCUUCGAGAAGGUAGCUUCGACCCCCGUAGUGGACAGGACACUCUUGGAAAUUCAGGACCCAGAGGUUAGUGCCCACGCCCGCUGUCCUGGGCAAAGAACUUCAGAAGGGGUGAGGGCUGCUUCUGCCGGAGGAAGGCAGUGGCUGACUGUUCCUGACUGGCCUCAGUGCCACUGCCCCAGGUGGGUGAAGCCUCCGGGCCUCCAGGGCGUCGGGCACCAGAGAGCGUGGCUUUUACAUCCAGGCUGAACCUGCAGGGGAGAGCGGGAGUGACAGGAAGAGGCUUGGCGCGCCUGUCCUGGCCAUCUGUGCCUCUAGGAGGGAGCUGACCCAGGGCUCUGCCAGGGAACAGUGACAUUCUGAAGGAUGCAGCCUCCACCCCCGCCUCUCCAUUCCCCCGCGCCCAGCAUGAUGAGUGCUGGAGGCAUAAACCCAAAGGGCAGCACUCCUAAGCCUGGGGGAGGGGGAGGGAGGAGGGAGGUGUCUUGCUAGCUUUUAUUUCUUCCUUCCUACUCACCUUGGUUAAAAGGCUUCGAGAGGAAGCAGAGGGAAUAAUACUUGAUGGUUAAAUCAUAUGUAUACUAUACACCUGCUGAUUAAAUCAUGUAUCUAUCACAGAUAAUCAUAUAUAUGUUAAAGUAUAUAUAUAUGUGUGUAUCUGUAUAUAUUUCAGAUGUCUAUAUAUAUGGAUAUAUCUAUAUGUCUCUUGAUAGAUGAUAGAGUGAUAGAUAGAUACAGUAUUUAGGUGGCAUUUGCUUUUUUAAAAGGAUCUUAUAGCACCUAUUAUACUCCUGAUCUCAAUGAGCAUUUCAAACUCCCUGAGGAAAAAGAAUAGGGAUUAAGGCAGUCCUAUUCAUCGGACACCCCAAGGAGAUGUUGAGAAGUUAGCAUUAUAUGCAUUUCUAACAGAUAAACAUAACAAAUUCAAGGAUGCUUCAGCUUCCAGGUCAAAUAUCAAGUCCAUUUUAGAAUGUAUGUUGGUGAUUGGUAUUCUGGUUCUGAAAUCAGUGUUCUAAAGGUCCAUGUUGUCCCCUGGUAAAUGGUGCACAGUCAUCCCAGCUGCUUGGGCUCUCAGCUGUAAGGCUGAUCUGGGACCCACAAACCUUGUCAAAGGAGGUGGCCAUCUUUCAAGGUUUUUCAUGCCCUUGGGUGAUGAUGGCCCACAGACAUGUCCUAACUAGCAACAUGUAGCUAGGAACACCACAGCAAGUAAGAGGGGUAGUUUAUGGAGACUCAAUUUAAACCUCAGUUUCCUCCUCCAUAAAAUGUAGAUAAUGCCUUCUCUCAAGAGGUUCUUGGGAAUUUUAAAUGGGAUAAUGCAUACACAACAUCCGGCAAUAGCAUUUGACAAGAGUUGCAGCGCUCAGUUCAGUAGAAAAAGUAGCUGAAAUUCCGAGACAGUUAAGCAUGAUGUGGUUAGGGCCUUAUGCUAUUACUAGUAAAGUUAGAAAAAAAGAAAACUAACAAAAAUACCUUCCGACCCUAAGCACCUUCCUUAAAGUAGAUGAUAAUUCCCUUUCAAUCCAACUGGUCAUUAAUUUGGUCCCCCAGAUGGAUUCUCACUCUACUCUGGAUUUAUUCACCUCUGCCAUGGCCUUCAGUGGACCCAGAUGACCUGGCCUAGUUCUCCAGCUCCACCUUCUGCCAGGUGACCCCUCACUCGCAGCUCUCCAGUCUCCCAGACCCUCCUUCUGUUCUUUGUGCCAAAUUCUUUCCCAACCUGAAACCUUCAUAUUUGUUGCCCCUCUUGUAAGGAAGACUUUUUCCCAAGAUUUUUCCGUGGUUGGCUCAUUUCAUGUCACCUCCCAGAGAACCUCUCUGGCCCUCGUCUAAAGUUAGCCACCGCCACCCCUGAGAGGCACUUUAUCCCCUGACCUUGUUCUCUGUUUCCUUCACAGUACUAUCCACUUUCUGAAAUAAUUUUAUCUGUAUUUUGUGUGUGUGUGUGUGUGUGUGUGUGUGUGUGUGUGUAUUCUAGCUCCUUAAGAAAGAUUAACUUCAUUAAAAGGUGAGCCUUUGUCUUGUUUUCUCUAUGUCCUCAGGGUGUGGAAGAGUAGGUUAGCUCAUAGUAGGAACUCAGUAAAUAUUUGCUGGGUGAAUGAAUCCCAUGAAUCAACUGCCACUCUCCUAUUCACACAUUCUGUUUCACUGAUGCAGUAUCUGGCUUGGGUGCCAUUGAUCCCCAGAGACAUGUAUUUUCAAAGUUGACGAGCUGACCACCUACCCACUUAAUGUUUUUUGACUUUUCUAAAUUGGCACUGAGUGUUGGAGAUUCUGUGUCUGACUUUCUUCCGAGGAAGCAUGGGAAUCUUAGAUGGACCUUUCAAUUAGCUCUCUAGGAAACAAAGUGAAAAUAAAUCCUUAAUGCAGUACAAAAUCUGGAAAUGCUGCUGGUAUGUCACAGCUGGAACUAUUCAUUUUACUUGUCAUACUUAUAAUUUAUUUAUUUACUUUUUGCAAAAUGUCAAAAGAAGUAGCUGUGGAUUCUGGUAAUGCCGAUUCCAUUUGGAGACCCAGUUGAAUACUGAGGAGACUUAACUGAGGAUGAAAUCAAGACUGGUUUAUUUUCCUUCUUCUAGUCCAAAGAGAUAACCCAAUUAUCCUGAUAAAAUUCAUGUCCUUCUCCAAUUUAACACACUGUUGAUUUUUUUCAUGUUUUCUAUCCCUCUCUUUGUCUAGUCUACACAUUUCUGAGACUUCCCUUCUAAUGCUCAUGCUUCUCAAGGUUUGCUAGAGUUUACAUUAGCUUGAUCUAUUAAAUAUGUAGUUUUCUUUUUUAGAUUUUUAGCUCCAGUGAUACAUUCUAAACACUGCCGACAGCUAGAGUUCCAGCUGAAGGAUUUAUCACCACCUGUACUACCAUCGAAAGCUCCCCUCUCUCCUGAAUUGUCUUCUCUAGCAGGCUCCUUACAUGAGGACAUGCAGAUGUACAAUGAAGAUCAGUACACUGACACAAAAGAAAAGAAAGGGAUUUAUAAAUGUUAUGCUCACCAUUGAUUUAAAGUUGAAAAGUACAAAUGAUUUCACAGGAACACCCACACUUUGGACAACCCCCCACAGAAUCCUAAAUAGACUUUGGGGAACCUUACAUUUCUGAGUGGAGUGCAGCUUUUUCAAAAAUUAACAAAACAAAACAAAACAAAACAAAACAAACAAACAACAACAACAAAACAGCCUUAGCUGGAUCUGCUUGAUUAAUAGCUGGGUUUCUCUAUUACUCCAGACUUCAGAAUUUGUAACUAUAGACUUCCUCUCCUUGUUCCAAUCUCCCUGCUCCUUUUCACUUCCAGGACAGUCCCAGAACAAGGUGUGCCAACCCUUACCCAGCUCUUCAUCUUGCUUUGGCCUGUACCUCAGCUAUAAAAUAGUCUGGGGAAUCUUUGGCUUCUAAAAUAAGCCUCGUGAUAGUACUUCAUCAUGCCAGGUGCCAAGAACCUAAUGUGAAGUUGCCCUGCUGGUCUCACAAUACAUUUUGUCUCUGCACAUGUCUCUUCUCACUUGUAUAGACUCUGACUUUCCACUUCACUGCCAGCAGGAGACACCUGUCAAGUUGUUUGUCGUGGGCAUACCUUAUAUGACUCUACAGACACAGAGAAUUACCAGAGCAGUCUAUUUGUGCAUGAGCCUGAAACUCUUAGGGAGGGCCCUCUUUUCCCAAAUAUGAAGAAUAGAAUUCCUUAAGUUCUCUCUCUACACAAAAGGUGAGUUUAGGAGGAGGGGAAAAAAACAAAAACAAAAACAACUAAACUCUCAUAAUGUGAAAUGAAAUAAAAGUCCUGAAAAAAUACAGGUGGCUGUUAACAUGCCUAUAAAUAUAAACAAGGGUUCCAGUGACAACUGUAAAACAGUAUAAGUCUGCUUUAUUAUGUCAGUAGAUUUAUUUAUAGCCAUAUAAUUCAUCCCUCUGCUCAUUUAUUUGAGAAAGUGAUCCUGCAAAAAUGCAGAUUUUGAUUAUAUUUCCCAUUUACGGGUAUAAAAUAGCAGCUUUAUUCUUCUAAGCAUCACUUGUAUAUGUAUUUGAUUUAAAAAUACAUUUUAAAAUUAUGCAUCCUUGCAUAAUUUUAUAGUUUAGAGAAUGUAUUUAUUACUUCUCUUCCUUUUAACUUAGCCUUCUUGUAAACAUCCACACUUAUUCUCUUGUCCUCCUUGUGGCUGAAAUGGGGAUAUCAGGAGUUUAGACAUUAAAAAUUUUUUCUCUAGGAAAUUUUCCAAAUUUCUUGAGUUUGGUCAAUACUGCUGGGAUAUCUACUUCAUUAGAAUUUCACACAUUUCUUCAAGGAGAAGAAAAAUAGGAAAUUCUCCUAUGUAGCAUCUCCCUUCAAAGUCCAAGUGAAAUUAUUUCAUCAUGGAAGCAAAUUUUCCUUUUACUCCAGGACAGAAUUCAAUUAGUUGCUCAUAGAGAUUUGGGCAUUUAAAACCUUAUUAGUCUUCACUAAGCUUACAGUGGAUAUCAGAGAUAUAAAUUUCAUAUCCUCAGCAUCAUGUAAAUCUUUAUCCAGUGUUAAGGACUCAAACAAAAUGAAUUAUUGUUAUACAAUAACAGAAUUAGUAAGAUAAUUUGUAUGUUUAUACAAUAACUGCCAAGUUAAAGAUUUACAGGGCACGCUGAGAGUGCACACAGCUUUAGAUUUGGGCCCCUGGUGCUCAAGACUUCCUAGGUUCAAAUCCUGAUUCUGCUUUUUAGCUGCCGUGAAAAUGUUGACAGGAUCUUUACCCUCUUUGUAUCUCAGCUUUUCCAUCUGUACAAUAGGAAUAAUCAUACUAUCUAUUUAAAAUGAUUGCUGUGAGAAUUCAGAAAUAUAUGUAAAAUGUGUAUAAACAGUGCCUGGCACAUAAACCAAUAAUCAAUAAAUGUGAACAAAAUUAUCUCUUUCUCCAAAUGACUCCUUGAAAAUCAUCCCUGCAGAUAGUUUUCUUCCUGAUGCAAAUCUCAGGAAGACUGGAUAAACAAAAAGGCUCCCGUAUAAUUCCAAAAUGUCGGAAGUCCCUCCUGUGUGUUGCCUGACUCAUUGGAUUCUCUUCGCCUAUAUUUCACAGAAUGAAGAGUAGCUUAAUCAUGUCUUUUCUCACAAAUAUCCUUCGAGCCAACUCCGAAAUAAUAAAGCUCACCAGGGUCUCAGAGCCAGAUAAUAUGAGCUACGGACACCCAGCAUUGUUGUAAAAGGGAUAAUUUUCUAGAAUAGGGUGGAAUGCAUAAAAUCUCAGUCUGCUUGGGGGUCUUGAAGGUCUCUCUGGUUACUUCUCUCUCCCAUUUCUUUUCCUACUUUUUUCCUCUCUAAUAAAUAGUACAUUUUAAUUAUUUAGCCUCCCUCCCCCCAAAAAAGACAUCCCCUCUAAAUCUUAUAAUAAUUUCCAUUGGACUUAUUUGGUAUUCUUAUUCAGUAAAUGUUUUCUUUCAAAUUACUGUGAAUGUAUCUCUGAACUAGGUUCUACUCACUAUAGAAGGAAACAAUUAUAUGGUGCAUCAAUUCAUCUAUUUCACAAACAUUAAAUUUAUGCUAAGUAUGGCUUAGGCAUCAGGUAAAGUCCUGGGGACUCAGAGAAGAUUUAAGGCCCUAAGAAGUGUAUAACUUAGCAGAAAUAUUUUAUAUAUAUAUAUAUUUA
This is a long non-coding RNA of Acinonyx jubatus (cheetah), 7360 nucleotides long. RefSeq lists it as uncharacterized. NCBI's taxonomy places the organism in Eukaryota, Metazoa, Chordata, Mammalia, Carnivora, Felidae. The record is from RefSeq and is a predicted model, not a curated record. The transcript has 2 exons.